AGAGUUUGAUCCUAGCUCAGGAUGAACGCUGGCGACGUGGAUCAGGCAUGCAAGUCGUACGGUCAUACUCCUUCGGGUGUAUGAUAGUGGCGAACGGGUUAGUAAUGCGUAGAUAUCACCCCUUCACUCAGGCAUAACUUGGAGAAAUCCAAGAUAAUUCCUGAUGGUCCGAGAAAUCGGUAAAGGUUUUCCGGUGAAGGACGAGUCUACGUCCUAUCAGCUAGUUGGUGAGGUAAAAGCUUACCAAGGCUAUGACGGGUAGGCGGAGUGAGAGCUUGUCCGCCAACAAUGGCACUGAGAUACGGGCCAUACUCCUACGGGAGGCAGCAGUCGAGAAUAUUGCACAAUGGGGGAAACCCUGAUGCAGCGACGUCGCGUGCGGGAUGAAGAUCUUCGGAUUGUAAACCGCUUUUCUGUGGGAAGAAUUUUUGACGGUACCAUAGGAAUAAGGGGUGACUAAACUCGUGCCAGCAGUAGCGGUAAUACGAGUGCCCCAAGCGUUAUCCGGAUUUAUUGGGCGUAAAGAGUCUGUAGGCGGUUCAUUAAGUUCUUCGUUAAAUCUUCAGGGCUUGACCUUGAAGCUGCGGGGAAAACUGAUGGACUAGAGGAUGUUAGAGGCUGAUAGAACACUCGGUGGAGGGGUGGAAUCCGUUGAUAUCGAGUGGAAUACCAAAAGCGAAGGCAAUCAGCUGGGGCAGUCCUGACGCUGAGAGACGAAAGCGUGGGGAGAGAAAAGGAUUAGAUACCCUUGUAUUCCACGCCCUAAACUUUGAACACUGGUCAUUGUAAGUGUCGACCCUUGCAGUGGCGAAGCUAACGCGUUAAGUGUUCCGCCUGGGAAGUACGGCCGCAAGGCUAAAACCCAAAGGAAUAGACGGGGACCUACACAAGCGGUGGAUCACGUGGCUUAAUUCGACAACAAGCGAGGAACCUUACCAGGGCUUGACAAACUAUUGAAGGCGCUUUGAAAAAUGCGCUUACCCGCAAGGGACAAUAGUCCAGGUGCUGCAUGGUCGUCAGCAGGUGGCUUGAGUUGCUCCCUUAAAUGGGGUAACCUGCGCAACCCUUGUCCUAUGUUUUAUAUGUCAUAGGAGACUGCCUAGGACGACUAGGAGGAAGGUGAGGAUGACGCCAAAUCAACAUGGCCUUUUGAUGCCCUGGGCUGCACACGUGAUACAAUGGAGCCGACAAUGGGAAGCGAAAGAGUAAUCUGGAGCUAAUCCUAUCAAACGGCCCCCCAAUACGGAUUGAGGUCUGAAACCCGACCUCAUGAAGCCGGAAUCGCUAGUAACCGCAGAUCAGCCAUGCUGCGGUGAAUAUGUCCCUGGGUCUUGUACUCACCGCCCGUCACGUCAAGCGAGUUGGGAAUGCCCGAAAUCCCGCAUUAGCGGGCCUAAGGUAGGCUCAAUGAGAGGGACGAAGUCGUAACAAGGCA
Molecule: ribosomal RNA, 1435 nt
Filed under: metagenome
Description: bacterial SSU rRNA
Rfam family: Bacterial small subunit ribosomal RNA
Source: RNAcentral